UACAGAGGGUGCGAGCGUUGUCCGGAAUCACUGGGCGUAAAGGGCGCGUAGGCGGCUUGAUAAGGUUGCGGUGAAAGCCCGGGGCUCAACCCCGGGUCGGCCGUGGCAACUGUCGAGCUGGAGCACUGUAGAGGCAGGUGGAAUUCCGGGUGUAGCGGUGGAAUGCGUAGAGAUCCGGAGGAACACCGACGGCGCAGGCAGCGUCCUGGCCGCUUGCUGACACUGAGGCACGAAAGCUGGGGGAGCAAACAGG
Molecule: ribosomal RNA, 253 nt
Filed under: uncultured bacterium
Lineage: Bacteria
Description: partial 16S ribosomal RNA
Rfam family: Bacterial small subunit ribosomal RNA
Source: RNAcentral